CUACGUAGGGGGCGAGCGUUGUCCGGAAUGAUUGGGCGUAAAGGGCGCGUAGGCGGCCCGGUAAGUCUGGAGUGAAAGUCCUGUUUUUAAGAUGGGAAUUGCUUUGGAUACUGUCGGGCUUGAGUGCAGGAGAGGUAAGUGGAAUUCCCAGUGUAGCGGUGAAAUGCGUAGAGAUUGGGAGGAACACCAGUGGCGAAGGCGACUUACUGGACUGUAACUGACGCUGAGGCGCGAAAGUGUGGGUAGCAAACAGGAUUAGAUACCCUGGUAGUCCACACUGUAAACGAUGAAUGCUAGGUGUAGGGGGUAUCGACCCCUUCUGUGCCGCAGUCAACACAAUAAGCACUCCGCCUGGGGAGUACGGCCGCAAGGUUGAAACUCAAAGGAAUUGACGGGG
Molecule: ribosomal RNA, 397 nt
Filed under: uncultured bacterium
Lineage: Bacteria
Description: partial 16S ribosomal RNA
Rfam family: Bacterial small subunit ribosomal RNA
Source: RNAcentral